Molecule: ribosomal RNA, 420 nt
Filed under: uncultured bacterium
Lineage: Bacteria
Description: bacterial SSU rRNA
Rfam family: Bacterial small subunit ribosomal RNA
Source: RNAcentral
GAAUAUUGGGCAAUGCCCGCAAGGGUGACCCAGCAACGCCGCGUGGAGGAUGAAGGCCGUAAGGUUGUAAACUCCUGUUAGAGGGGACGAAUGGUUGGGUUAACAGCCCAAUUUGACGGUACCCUCAGAGAAAGCCCCGGCUAACUACGUGCCAGCAGCCGCGGUAAUACGUAGGGGGCAAGCGUUGUCCGGAUUUACUGGGUGUAAAGGGCGCGCAGGCGGACUAGCAAGUCAGAGGUGAAAUCCUACAGCUUAACUGUAGAACUGCCUUUGAUACUGUUAGUCUUGAGUACGGAAGAGAGAAGCGGAAUUCCAGGUGUAGUGGUGAAAUACGUAGAUAUCUGGAAGAACACCAGUUGCGAAGGCGGCUUCUUGGUCCGUUACUGACGCUCAGGCGCGAAAGCGUGGGUAGCAAACAGG